Molecule: ribosomal RNA, 216 nt
Filed under: uncultured bacterium
Lineage: Bacteria
Description: partial 16S ribosomal RNA
Rfam family: Bacterial small subunit ribosomal RNA
Source: RNAcentral
UAUAUCGGAACGUACCCAAGAGUGGGGAUAACGUAGCGAAAGUUACGCUAAUACCGCAUACGAUCUAAGGAUGAAAGUGGGGGACCGCAAGGCCUCACGCUCCUGGAGCGGCCGAUAUCUGAUUAGCUAGUUGGUGAGGUAAAGGCUCACCAAGGCGACGAUCAGUAGCUGGUCUGAGAGGACGACCAGCCACACUGGGACUGAGACACGGCCCAG